RNAcentral lists this ribosomal RNA (253 nucleotides) under uncultured bacterium. RNAcentral's name for it is "partial 16S ribosomal RNA". It matches the Rfam family "Bacterial small subunit ribosomal RNA", at positions 524 to 776 of the family's 1533-position model. The record is from RNAcentral.
UACGGGGGGAGCAAGCGUUGUUCGGAUUUACUGGGCGUAAAGGGCGCGUAGGCGGUCUCUUAAGCGUGUGGUGAAAGCCCGGGGCUCAACUCCGGGUCGGCCGUGCGAACUGGGGGACUGGAGCUUGUCAGAGGCAGGCGGAAUUCCGGGUGUAGCGGUGGAAUGCGUAGAGAUCCGGAAGAACACCGGUGGCGAAGGCGGCCUGCUGGGACAGUGCUGACGCUGAGGCGCGACAGCGUGGGGAGCAAACAGG